UUAUCUCGCUGCAGGAAUUUUGUUGGCUGGUUUGAGUCCAUUUUGGAACUCGCUUGUGAGAUCUGUUCGGAGCUAGUCCUUGAAGUCUCGAGGUUAUUCCGUUGAGGUCUUGGUGCUAGUUAUUCUUUUUACGAUGUGAUUUCAAUUGCCAGAACUCCAUGUUUGACGUUAACGUCUUUGAGUUAAAACGUGAAGAUUAAGC
Molecule: long non-coding RNA, 202 nt
Filed under: Nicotiana benthamiana
Lineage: Eukaryota; Viridiplantae; Streptophyta; Magnoliopsida; Solanales; Solanaceae
Description: long non-coding RNA (NBEN_LNC027188)
Source: RNAcentral